CGAGGAGGGUGGGGUUUCCUGCUUUCUCCCUGAGGCUCUCUCAUGACCUCUCAGCCUGUAGGCCCCCUACACCCCGCUUUAUGUCCCUGGUGGCGCGGCACCAGGAACCUCCACGCCCCUGGCCGCUAGCCUGAGGGGGCCCUCUGUCACCUCCUGUUCUUCCUUCUCGAGCCGUGACAGAUGAAGAGGGUGUGCGCUGCACCUGCGAAGAUGCUUGUCUGUGCCAUAGGUGCGCGCCAGGCGCGGGGUCCGGGGCUGGCGUCCCAGGGCCUGGGCCCAGCUGGGAGGCGGGCCUGUGCGUGAAGAAUACAUAUUGGAUGCCCAAAGGGACGCGGUACCAGACUCCGGGGAUGCUCGCUUCACACCUGUCAAGUGCACAGAACAGGGAGGCAUUUAUUUACCUGAGAUUUUCUGAGUUCCUGGUGUGUGUUAGGAGUAUCCAGAGUGGUGUGAUUUUCUCGGAGCUAUAAUCUUGCUGGAAAGACAAACAUGAAGCAAAUAAUGAGUGCAGUCUUGAUGAGUUAUGAAGAAGAGAAUGUAGGUUCUUCCUCCUUGGAUAUUUUGCUCAAGUCCAUGGUGUCAGCAGCUUAUAAGGUAUUUCUAAGGAAGAUAAAAUGUCUCUAUUGAAUUCUCUACCUUGGGCCUGGGAUGGAUACCACCUUUUGGAAAUUAAAGGCACAACCCUCCCUUCUCAAAGCUCAUUAUAGAAUUACAUUCAGAAGACUCACUUCAGACACCAACUAUCCUUAACCUAAGUUGUACUAUGGGUACUGUAUAAGUAUUUUUGCUUUUUUUUUUCUUAUAAAAGAUGGAAUGUGUAUGGGGGGCAUAGUGUUAAAGAACUUACACUUCUGCUGAUACAUUUGCACUUGUACUGCAGUUGCACUUGUAUCCAUCAGCAAAUUUAAAACAACUUCCGAUAUGAUGUCCUUACGUCUCCAGUCCUAAAUCUUUUUUUAAAGAGUUUGAAUUAGUUGCCAACAUGAAAAAACUAAAUUUCUCACAAAAAUCUUGCUUUCUAGCUUUCCUUGGGGAAAUCGAACUACAUAGCAACAUUAGACCGUGAUUCCCGCCCAGGGAUAACUGAGGGGUGGCUGUUCAUUAAGAGGAGUCACGCAUUCUCCAGUUCUGUCCCUACCACUCUGUUUUCUAACGCAGGACCUCCUUCACUUAUUUCUAUGAUUGGUUUAGCCCCUGCGGUCAAGUUUCCCCUCAAUUUUUCUCUUCAACUUUUAAUCAUAUUACUAACAACACUUUUCUAAUUUCUGAGC
Long non-coding RNA from Nycticebus coucang (slow loris), 1271 nucleotides. RefSeq lists it as uncharacterized. The record is from RefSeq and is a predicted model, not a curated record. The transcript has 3 exons. NCBI's taxonomy places the organism in Eukaryota, Metazoa, Chordata, Mammalia, Primates, Lorisidae.